AGCGAACGCUGGCGGCAGGCCUAGCACAUGCAAGUCGAACGAACCUUUCGGGGUUAGUGGCGGACGGGUGAGUAACACGUGGGAACGUGCCUUUAGGUUCGGAAUAACUCAGGGAAACUUGUGCUAAUACCGAAUGUGCCCUUCGGGGGAAAGAUUUAUCGCCUUUAGAGCGGCCCGCGUCUGAUUAGCUAGUUGGUUGAGGUAAUGGCUCACCAAGGCGACGAUCAGUAGCUGGUCUGAGAGGAUGAUCAGCCACAUUGGGACUGAGACACGGCCCAAACUCCUACGGGAGGCAGCAGUGGGGAAUCUUGCGCAAUGGGCGAAAGCCUGACGCAGCCAUGCCGCGUGAAUGAUGAAGGUCUUAGGAUUGUAAAAUUCUUUCACCGGGGACGAUAAUGACGGUACCCGGAGAAGAAGCCCCGGCUAACUUCGUG
This 434-nucleotide ribosomal RNA is filed under the name uncultured bacterium. RNAcentral describes it as "partial 16S ribosomal RNA". It matches the Rfam family "Bacterial small subunit ribosomal RNA", at positions 29 to 507 of the family's 1533-position model. The record is from RNAcentral.